CCUAUGGGGCGCAGCAGUGGGGGAUAUUGCACAAUGGGGGGAACCCUGAUGCAGCGACGCCGCGUGAGUGAAGUAGUAUCUCGGUAUGUAAAGCUCUAUCAGCAGGGAAGAAGCAAGACGGUACCUGACUAAGAAGCCCCGGCUAACUACGUGCCAGCAGCCGCGGUAAUACGUAGGGGGCGAGCGUUAUCCGGAUUUACUGGGUGUAAAGGGAGCGUAGACGGCAUGGUAAGUCUGGAGUGAAAGCCCGGGGCCCAA
This 258-nucleotide ribosomal RNA is filed under the name uncultured bacterium. RNAcentral's name for it is "partial 16S ribosomal RNA". It matches the Rfam family "Bacterial small subunit ribosomal RNA", at positions 338 to 612 of the family's 1533-position model. The record is from RNAcentral.